Molecule: ribosomal RNA, 70 nt
Filed under: Staphylococcus capitis subsp. urealyticus
Lineage: Bacteria; Bacillati; Bacillota; Bacilli; Caryophanales; Staphylococcaceae
Description: partial 23S ribosomal RNA
Source: RNAcentral
AGAUUAAGUUAUUAAGGGCGCACGGUGGAUGCCUUGGCACUAGAAGCCGAAGAAGGACGUUACUAACGAC